GAUGAACGCUGGCGGCGUGCCUAAUACAUGCAAGUCGAGCGAACAGACGAGGAGCUUGCUCCUCUGACGUUAGCGGCGGACGGGUGAGUAACACGUGGAUAACCUACCUAUAAGACUGGGAUAACUUCGGGAAACCGGAGCUAAUACCGGAUAAUAUAUUGAACCGCAUGGUUCAAUAGUGAAAGACGGUUUUGCUGUCACUUAUAGAUGGAUCCGCGCCGCAUUAGCUAGUUGGUAAGGUAACGGCUUACCAAGGCAACGAUGCGUAGCCGACCUGAGAGGGUGAUCGGCCACACUGGAACUGAGACACGGUCCAGACUCCUACGGGAGGCAGCAGUAGGGAAUCUUCCGCAAUGGACGAAAGCUUGACGGAGCAACGCCGCGUGAGUGAUGAAGGUCUUCGGAUCGUAAAACUCUGUUAUUAGGGAAGAACAAAUGUGUAAGUAACUAUGCACGUCUUGACGGUACCUAAUCAGAAAGCCACGGCUAACUACGUG
RNAcentral lists this ribosomal RNA (497 nucleotides) under uncultured bacterium. RNAcentral describes it as "partial 16S ribosomal RNA". It matches the Rfam family "Bacterial small subunit ribosomal RNA", at positions 28 to 507 of the family's 1533-position model. The record is from RNAcentral.